UGGGAAUUUUGGACAAUGGGGGAAACCCUGAUCCAGCCAUCCCGCGUGUGCGAUGAAGGCCUUCGGGUUGUAAAGCACUUUUGGCAGGAAAGAAACGUCGCGGGUUAAUACCCCGCGAAACUGACGGUACCUGCAGAAUAAGCACCGGCUAACUACGUGCCAGCAGCCGCGGUAAUACGUAGGGUGCAAGCGUUAAUCGGAAUUACUGGGCGUAAAGCGUGCGCAGGCGGUUCGGAAAGAAAGAUGUGAAAUCCCAGAGCUUAACUUUGGAACUGCAUUUUUAACUACCGGGCUAGAGUGUGUCAGAGGGAGGUGGAAUUCCGCGUGUAGCAGUGAAAUGCGUAGAUAUGCGGAGGAACACCGAUGGCGAAGGCAGCCUCCUGGGAUAACACUGACGCUCAUGCACGAAAGCGUGGGGAGCAAACAGGAUUAGAUACCCUGGUAGUCCACGCCCUAAACGAUGUCAACUAGCUGUUGGGGCCUUCGGGCCUUGGUAGCGCAGCUAACGCGUGAAGUUGACCGCCUGGGGAGUACGGUCGCAGAUUAAAACUCAAAUGAAUUGACGGGGUCGAUANCU
RNAcentral lists this ribosomal RNA (577 nucleotides) under uncultured bacterium. RNAcentral's name for it is "partial 16S ribosomal RNA". It matches the Rfam family "Bacterial small subunit ribosomal RNA", at positions 356 to 927 of the family's 1533-position model. The record is from RNAcentral.